UUAAGUUCAGCGGGUAUCCCUACCUGAUCCGAGGUCAACCUUGGUAAAAAGGGGGUGUCCCCCCCGAGGGGGGAACGGGUGACCGGGUCUGGACUUCUAGCCUAGUACGUGCCCGAAAGCUCAGUGUACAGGAGUCCUCACAGACGCCGUCAUUAUCUUUGAGAAGAGCAGGGGCCGGGGGCCCGCGCUGCAACCAACAACAAGCCGGGCUUGAGGGGUGAUAAUGACGCUCGAACAGGCAUGCCCCAUGGAAUACCAAGGGGCGCAAUGUGCGUUCAAAGAUUCGAUGAUUCACUGAAUUCUGCAAUUCACAUUACUUAUCGCAUUUCGCUGCGUUCUUCAUCGAUGCCAGAACCAAGAGAUCCGUUGUUGAAAGUUUUGUUUUGAUUUUAAUCAAGACUCCGACGCAAAUUGACGCAGUGUUUGAUGGUCUCCGGGGCCGCCGGCGCCGCGGACGGCAGGGUCGCCCCCGAAGCAACGAGGUAUGGUUCACAAAGGGUUGGAGGUCGGGCCCGGGGGCCCUCACUCGGUAAUGAUCCCU
RNAcentral lists this unclassified non-coding RNA (541 nucleotides) under uncultured Phialophora. RNAcentral's name for it is "sequence contains ITS1, 5.8S rRNA gene, ITS2". The record is from RNAcentral. Lineage: Eukaryota; Fungi; Ascomycota; Leotiomycetes.